CUCUACCAGACAGGCGCCGGUUUCCGAGAGGAACUAACAGGGAAUCCGCCCAAGGCCCGCCAGGCCGAGGAAACGGAACUGCCCCCGCAACUGUAGGCGGCGAGCCCGCUCCGAACACGCCACUGGGAUCGCAUCCCGGGAAGGCCGGAGCGGGCGGUGACCCGCCAGUCAGGAGACCUGCCGGCAGGUGCAACGAACU
This 199-nucleotide non-coding RNA is filed under the name Teichococcus cervicalis. The record is from RNAcentral. RNAcentral also lists the same sequence under 1 other name. Lineage: Bacteria; Pseudomonadati; Pseudomonadota; Alphaproteobacteria; Acetobacterales; Roseomonadaceae.